CCUACGGGAGGCAGCAGUGAGGAAUAUUGGUCAAUGGGCGGAAGCCUGAACCAGCCAAGUCGCGUGAGGGAAUAAGGCCCUACGGGUCGUAAACCUCUUUUGCCGGGGAGCAAGUGCCGGGACGAGUCCCGGUCCGGAGAGUACCCGGAGAAAAAGCAUCGGCUAACUCCGUGCCAGCAGCCGCGGUAAUACGGAGGAUGCGAGCGUUAUCCGGAUUUAUUGGGUUUCAAGGUUGCGUAGGCGGGCUUUUAAGUCAGCGGUAAAAAUUCGGGGCUCAACCCCGUCCGGCCGUUGAAACUGGGGGCCUUGAGUGGGCGAGAAGAAGGCGGAAUGCGUGGUGUAGCGGUGAAAUGCAUAGAUAUCACGCAGAACCCCGAUUGCGAAGGCAGCCUUCCGGCGCCCUACUGACGCUGAGGCACGAAAGUGCGGGGAUCGAACAGGAUUAGAUACCCCAGUAGUC
This 460-nucleotide ribosomal RNA is filed under the name uncultured bacterium. Its description in RNAcentral is "partial 16S ribosomal RNA". It matches the Rfam family "Bacterial small subunit ribosomal RNA", at positions 338 to 795 of the family's 1533-position model. The record is from RNAcentral.